Non-coding RNA from Megalobrama amblycephala (Wuchang bream), 591 nucleotides. Lineage: Eukaryota; Metazoa; Chordata; Actinopteri; Cypriniformes; Xenocyprididae. The record is from the annotation of a RefSeq genome assembly.
ACAUGUCACUUCCUUUCACUUGUCAUGACUUUUUUUUGUCUCAGUGUUGUUAGUUGUUAAGCUGUGAUCCAUCAUACACCGACUAAGUGCAGAAUAUCACCAUGGUGAUAAUGUUUGCAGUAUUCCUUGUCCUGUUAACAGGUCUUGUACAAAGUCAUAAAGUUGAGCAGUCUCCUCCAGACCUGAUGAGGAAGCUCACAGAAUCUGCUGUUCUCAAUUGCUCACAUUCAGUCCAGGGCUUUGAUCUCAUUCUCUGGUAUAAACAAUCUGAUGAGGGGAAAUUAGUUUUUCUUGGUUAUCUCAAUAUGAAUUUUCCAUAUCCUGAAGAGGAGAUUAAAAACAAAAUUGGCUUGGAUGGAGAUGGCACAAGUCAUUCCACACUAACAAUCAAGAAUCUGACACCAGUCGACAGCGCAGUCUAUUUCUGUGCAGCACGGAGUCACAGUGUGUCAAAUUCCCACAACACAGCGCAAAAACCAUCUUUAUCACAUCAUAAUAUCUUUAGUGUGCACUAAAACAGGUGAUAGCGUUCGUUCACCUGCUACAAACCACUAAACCUGUUUCUAUGACUGUGGCAGGCAACCCUACUAA